UACAGAGGGUGCAAGCGUUAAUCGGAAUUACUGGGCGUAAAGCGUGCGCAGGCGGCUUUGCAAGACAGAUGUGAAAUCCCCGGGCUCAACCUGGGAACUGCAUUUGUGACUGCAAGGCUAGAGUACGGCAGAGGAGGAUGGAAUUCCGCGUGUAGCAGUGAAAUGCGUAGAUAUGCGGAGGAACACCGAUGGCGAAGGCAAUCCCCUGGGCCUGUACUGACGCUCAUGCACGAAAGCGUGGGGAGCAAACAGG
RNAcentral lists this ribosomal RNA (253 nucleotides) under uncultured bacterium. RNAcentral's name for it is "partial 16S ribosomal RNA". It matches the Rfam family "Bacterial small subunit ribosomal RNA", at positions 524 to 776 of the family's 1533-position model. The record is from RNAcentral.